UUGACGGAGAGUUUGAUCCUGGCUCAGGACGAACGCUGGCGGCGCGCCUAAUACAUGCAAGUCGAACGAGUACGCACUUCGGUGCAAUGUACGAGUGGCGAACGGGUGAGUAACACGUGAGAAACCUGCCUCGGAGACCGGGACAACCAUUGGAAACGAUGGCUAAUACCGGAUGUCCUUACUUGGUCGCAUGAUCGGGUAAGGAAAUGAUCCGUCGCUCCGGGAGGGUCUCGCGGCCUAUCAGCUAGUUGGUGAGGUAAUGGCUCACCAAGGCAUCGACGGGUAGCUGGUCUGAGAGGACGAUCAGCCACACUGG
Molecule: ribosomal RNA, 316 nt
Filed under: Acidimicrobiaceae bacterium
Lineage: Bacteria; Bacillati; Actinomycetota; Acidimicrobiia; Acidimicrobiales; Acidimicrobiaceae
Description: bacterial SSU rRNA
Rfam family: Bacterial small subunit ribosomal RNA
Source: RNAcentral